Molecule: long non-coding RNA, 578 nt
Organism: Mauremys mutica (yellowpond turtle)
Lineage: Eukaryota; Metazoa; Chordata; Testudines; Geoemydidae
Exons: 2
Source: RefSeq, a predicted model, not a curated record
AAACACACCUAUUGUGGUUCUUCAACAAGACCUUCAUAUCAUAAGCCUUACUGAUAGCCAUCUUCUUCAGCUGGUUGGGAUUCUUUGUGAUUUUCCCAUUUACUGUUUCCAGCAAAAUCUGCUUCCAUAUAAUGGUGCACCAGGGAUCAACAUGUAUCUGAGUUUCGUAGAAUAUCUGCAGGAUCCAAGAUGAUAUACCUGCAUAGCCUGGGGGGAAUUAGACAUCUGGAAGAUUUAGUAAUUCAUUUUAAUCUAAACUUAUGUCAUUUAAAGGCUUAUGGAAAGGUUUAGCUCCUGUCUGAAGCACACUUCAUAGUGUUAUGUCAAGCAAUAAUUUUAGUGCAGAAUUGGAACAUAAUUUUUGAAAAUACAAAACUCUUGAUGUAAUCCUUUUGCAAUGUAAGUUUCCAUGGGAAAGAAUAUUGCUGUUCAAGAUCCAUUUUACUAUUAAAUCCAUUAUUAUAUUUUACUGUUACUGUUAUUUUGAUUUUUCCUUCUGGAGCAGGAUAAUGUUACUGUCUAAAGGACAGGCUGUAAUCCAUUGUUUUAAUUACAUUAAAAUAAUCAAAUUACUGUAA